AUCCAGCUGACGAGUCCCAAAUAGGACGAAGCACACGUCCUGGAU
Non-coding RNA from Schistosoma curassoni, 45 nucleotides. The record is from Rfam. Lineage: Eukaryota; Metazoa; Platyhelminthes; Trematoda; Strigeidida; Schistosomatidae.